GUCUGAAUGGGGGAACCCACCUACUUUAAGGUAGGUAUUGCAACAUGAAUACAUAGUGUUGCAAGGCGAACGAGGGGAAGUGAAACAUCUCAGUACCCUUAGGAAAAGAAAUCAAUUGAGAUUCCCUCAGUAGCGGCGAGCGAACGGGGAUCAGCCCAUUAAGUUAUGUGUGUUUUAGUGGAACGCUCUGGGAAGUGCGAACGUAGAGGGUGAUAUUCCCGUACACGAAAGGGCACACAUAAUGAUGACGAGUAGGGCGAGGCACGUGAAACCUUGUCUGAAUAUGGGGGGACCAUCCUCCAAGGCUAAAUACUCCUGACUGACCGAUAGUGAACCAGUACCGUGAGGGAAAGGCGAAAAGAACCCCUGUGAGGGGAGUGAAAUAGAUCCUGAAACCGCAUGCAUACAAGCAGUGGGAGCACCUUCGUGGUGUGACUGCGUACCUUUUGUAUAAUGGGUCAGCGACUUAUAUUCAGUAGCGAGGUUAACCGUAUAGGGGAGCCGUAGAGAAAUCGAGUCUUAAUAGGGCGUUUAGUUGCUGGGUAUAGACCCGAAACCAGGCGAUCUAUCCAUGAGCAGGUUGAAGGUUGGGUAACACUAACUGGAGGACCGAACCCACUGUCGUUGAAAAGCCAGGGGAUGACUUGUGGAUAGGGGUGAAAGGCUAAUCAAGCCUGGUGAUAGCUGGUUCUCCCCGAAAGCUAUUUAGGUAGCGCCUCGGACGAAUACCAUAGGGGGUAGAGCACUGUUUCGGCUAGGGGGUCAUCCCGACUUACCAAACCGAUGCAAACUCCGAAUACCUAUGAGUACUAUCCGGGAGACAGACUGCGGGUGCUAACGUCCGUAGUCAAGAGGAAAACAAUCCAGACCGCCAGCUAAGGCCCCAAAAUCAUAGUUAAGUGGGAAACGAUGUGGGAAGGCAUAGACAGCUAGGAGGUUGGCUUAGAAGCAGCCACCCUUUAAAGAAAGCGUAAUAGCUCACUAGUCGAGUCGGCCUGCGCGGAAGAUGUAACGGGGCUAAAACUAUGUGCCGAAGCUGCGGAUGUAUACUUUGUAUACGUGGUAGGGGAGCGUUCUGUAAGCCGAUGAAGGUGUGUUGAGAAGCAUGCUGGAGGUAUCAGAAGUGCGAAUGCUGACGUGAGUAACGACAAAACGGGUGAAAAACCCGUUCGCCGAAAGACCAAGGGUUCCAGUCCAACGUUAAUCGGGGCUGGGUGAGUCGACCCCUAAGGCGAGGCCGAAAGGCGUAGUCGAUGGGAAAAUGGUUAAUAUUCCAUUACUUCUGUGUAAUGCGAUGAGAGGACGGAGAAGGCUAAAUCAGCCUGGCGUUGGUUGUCCAGGUGAAAGGAUGUAGGCAUGUAUCUUAGGCAAAUCCGGGGUACUCUAUGCUGAGAUCUGAUAGCAAGCUGUACUUGUACAGCGAAGUGGUUGAUGCCAUGCUUCCAGGAAAAGUCUCUAAGCUUCAGUUACACAGGAAUCGUACCCGAAACCGACACAGGUGGUCAGGUCGAGUAGACCAAGGCGCUUGAGAGAACUCUGCUGAAGGAACUAGGCAAAAUGGUACCGUAACUUCGGGAGAAGGUACGCUGUUGUUGGUGAUGGAACUCGCUUCCUGAGCUGACGACAGCCGCAGAAACCAGGCCGCUGCAACUGUUUAUUAAAAACAUAGCACUCUGCAAACACGAAAGUGGACGUAUAGGGUGUGAUGCCUGCCCGGUGCUGGAAGGUUAAUUGAUGGGGUUAGCGUAAGCGAAGCUCUUGAUCGAAGCCCCAGUAAACGGCGGCCGUAACUAUAACGGUCCUAAGGUAGCGAAAUUCCUUGUCGGGUAAGUUCCGACCUGCACGAAUGGCAUAAUGAUGGCGGCGCUGUCUCCAGCAGAGGCUCAGUGAAAUCGAAAUCGCUGUGAAGAUGCAGUGUACCCGCGGCUAGACGGAAAGACCCCGUGAACCUUUACUGCAGCUUGACACUGAACUUUGACCUUACUUGUGUAGGAUAGGUGGGAGGCUUUGAAGCUGGAACGCUAGUUCCAGUGGAGCCGUCCUUGAAAUACCACCCUGGUAAUGUUGAGGUUCUAACUCUGUCCCGUGAUCCGGGACGAGGACCGUGUCUGGUGGGUAGUUUGACUGGGGCGGUCUCCUCCUAAAGAGUAACGGAGGAGUACGAAGGUGCGCUCAGCGUGGUCGGAAAUCACGCGUAGAGUAUAAAGGCAAAAGCGCGCUUAACUGCGAGACCCACAAGUCGAGCAGGUACGAAAGUAGGUCUUAGUGAUCCGGUGGUUCUGUAUGGAAGGGCCAUCGCUCAACGGAUAAAAGGUACUCUGGGGAUAACAGGCUGAUACCGCCCAAGAGUUCAUAUCGACGGCGGUGUUUGGCACCUCGAUG
Molecule: ribosomal RNA, 2382 nt
Filed under: Acinetobacter baumannii
Lineage: Bacteria; Pseudomonadati; Pseudomonadota; Gammaproteobacteria; Moraxellales; Moraxellaceae
Description: partial 23S ribosomal RNA
Rfam family: Bacterial large subunit ribosomal RNA
Source: RNAcentral